This is a long non-coding RNA of Leptinotarsa decemlineata (Colorado potato beetle), 622 nucleotides long. RefSeq lists it as uncharacterized. NCBI's taxonomy places the organism in Eukaryota, Metazoa, Arthropoda, Insecta, Coleoptera, Chrysomelidae. The record is from RefSeq and is a predicted model, not a curated record.
UUUUCUGAACAGACCUCGUACAGAAAAUUCAUUCGAUAUAUAUAGUCACUCAGUGCCACUAUGAGUUCAUGGUGUUGGUGUCUUCAUCUUGAAAAAAUGGCUUCAAACUUUCCCAGUUAUUUCUACUUCUUUUUUGUUGUCGCUGUAUUGACAUGUCUGACAGAGGCUCAAGUGCGCAUAAAAUCCAAGAAGUCAGGAUAAGUCUUUGUGACGGCAAAGGGUCUAAUGUUGAAGUUGCUGAGCCUGACGAUUCUGAGGGCCAGAAGUGGAUAUUGGAAUGCAAUCAAAAAGGCCAUUUCAUUAUCAAUAGUGAGAGACAAGAUUUAGCAAUGGAUAUACAGAAAGGCUGUAAAAUUGGUCAAAAUGUCAUGGUUUAUGGUAAACAUUCAAGGCAGAAUCAGCAAUUCUUCAUUAAUUCCGAUGCAACUAUUGGUACAGCUUGCAAUGCAAAUCUUAUUCUGUUGGUGAAGGAUAGAAACGUAGAAGUAGCACCAAGAGACAAUUCUACUGAUCUUGACAUACACUUUGAAAUUGAACCAAUCGAAUGAUCAAGAAAUAUCAAUGAAGAAUAUUGUACUUGAGUACUUUCACUAAUGAUAAAAAUUAAAUAUACAUAUAAUAA